GGUUAAGCGACUAAGCGUACACGGUGGAUGCCCUGGCAGUCAGAGGCGAUGAAGGACGUGCUAAUCUGCGAUAAGCGUCGGUAAGGUGAUAUGAACCGUUAUAACCGGCGAUUUCCGAAUGGGGAAACCCAGUGUGAUUCGUCACACUAUCAUUAACUGAAUCCAUAGGUUAAUGAGGCGAACCGGGGGAACUGAAACAUCUAAGUACCCCGAGGAAAAGAAAUCAACCGAGAUUCCCCCAGUAGCGGCGAGCGAACGGGGAGCAGCCCAGAGCCUGAAUCAGUGUGUGUGUUAGUGGAAGCGUCUGGAAAGGCGUGCGAUACAGGGUGACAGCCCCGUACACAAAAAUGCACAUGCUGUGAGCUCGAUGAGUAGGGCGGGACACGUGGUAUCCUGUCUGAAUAUGGGGGGACCAUCCUCCAAGGCUAAAUACUCCUGACUGACCGAUAGUGAACCAGUACCGUGAGGGAAAGGCGAAAAGAACCCCGGCGAGGGGAGUGAAAAAGAACCUGAAACCGUGUACGUACAAGCAGUGGGAGCACGCUUAGGCGUGUGACUGCGUACCUUUUGUAUAAUGGGUCAGCGACUUAUAUUCUGUAGCAAGGUUAACCGAAUAGGGGAGCCGAAGGGAAACCGAGUCUUAACUGGGCGUUAAGUUGCAGGGUAUAGACCCGAAACCCGGUGAUCUAGCCAUGGGCAGGUUGAAGGUUGGGUAACACUAACUGGAGGACCGAACCGACUAAUGUUGAAAAAUUAGCGGAUGACUUGUGGCUGGGGGUGAAAGGCCAAUCAAACCGGGAGAUAGCUGGUUCUCCCCGAAAGCUAUUUAGGUAGCGCCUCGUGAAUUCAUCUCCGGGGGUAGAGCACUGUUUCGGCAAGGGGGUCAUCCCGACUUACCAACCCGAUGCAAACUGCGAAUACCGGAGAAUGUUAUCACGGGAGACACACGGCGGGUGCUAACGUCCGUCGUGAAGAGGGAAACAACCCAGACCGCCAGCUAAGGUCCCAAAGUCAUGGUUAAGUGGGAAACGAUGUGGGAAGGCCCAGACAGCCAGGAUGUUGGCUUAGAAGCAGCCAUCAUUUAAAGAAAGCGUAAUAGCUCACUGGUCGAGUCGGCCUGCGCGGAAGAUGUAACGGGGCUAAACCAUGCACCGAAGCUGCGGCAGCGACGAUGAUGCGUUGUUGGGUAGGGGAGCGUUCUGUAAGCCUGUGAAGGUGUACUGUGAGGUAUGCUGGAGGUAUCAGAAGUGCGAAUGCUGACAUAAGUAACGAUAAAGCGGGUGAAAAGCCCGCUCGCCGGAAGACCAAGGGUUCCUGUCCAACGUUAAUCGGGGCAGGGUGAGUCGACCCCUAAGGCGAGGCCGAAAGGCGUAGUCGAUGGGAAACAGGUUAAUAUUCCUGUACUUGGUGUUACUGCGAAGGGGGGACGGAGAAGGCUAUGUUGGCCGGGCGACGGUUGUCCCGGUUUAAGCGUGUAGGCUGGUUUUCCAGGCAAAUCCGGAAAACUAAGGCUGAGGCGUGAUGACGAGGCACUACGGUGCUGAAGCAACAAAUGCCCUGCUUCCAGGAAAAGCCUCUAAGCAUCAGGUAACAUCAAAUCGUACCCCAAACCGACACAGGUGGUCAGGUAGAGAAUACCAAGGCGCUUGAGAGAACUCGGGUGAAGGAACUAGGCAAAAUGGUGCCGUAACUUCGGGAGAAGGCACGCUGAUAUGUAGGUGAAGCGACUUGCUCGUGGAGCUGAAAUCAGUCGAAGAUACCAGCUGGCUGCAACUGUUUAUUAAAAACACAGCACUGUGCAAACACGAAAGUGGACGUAUACGGUGUGACGCCUGCCCGGUGCCGGAAGGUUAAUUGAUGGGGUCAGCGCAAGCGAAGCUCUUGAUCGAAGCCCCGGUAAACGGCGGCCGUAACUAUAACGGUCCUAAGGUAGCGAAAUUCCUUGUCGGGUAAGUUCCGACCUGCACGAAUGGCGUAAUGAUGGCCAGGCUGUCUCCACCCGAGACUCAGUGAAAUUGAACUCGCUGUGAAGAUGCAGUGUACCCGCGGCAAGACGGAAAGACCCCGUGAACCUUUACUAUAGCUUGACACUGAACAUUGAGCCUUGAUGUGUAGGAUAGGUGGGAGGCUUUGAAGUGUGGACGCCAGUCUGCAUGGAGCCGACCUUGAAAUACCACCCUUUAAUGUUUGAUGUUCUAACGUUGACCCGUAAUCCGGGUUGCGGACAGUGUCUGGUGGGUAGUUUGACUGGGGCGGUCUCCUCCUAAAGAGUAACGGAGGAGCACGAAGGUUGGCUAAUCCUGGUCGGACAUCAGGAGGUUAGUGCAAUGGCAUAAGCCAGCUUGACUGCGAGCGUGACGGCGCGAGCAGGUGCGAAAGCAGGUCAUAGUGAUCCGGUGGUUCUGAAUGGAAGGGCCAUCGCUCAACGGAUAAAAGGUACUCCGGGGAUAACAGGCUGAUACCGCCCAAGAGUUCAUAUCGACGGCGGUGUUUGGCACCUCGAUGUCGGCUCAUCACAUCCUGGGGCUGAAGUAGGUCCCAAGGGUAUGGCUGUUCGCCAUUUAAAGUGGUACGCGAGCUGGGUUUAGAACGUCGUGAGACAGUUCGGUCCCUAUCUGCCGUGGGCGCUGGAGAAUUGAGGGGGGCUGCUCCUAGUACGAGAGGACCGGAGUGGACGCAUCACUGGUGUUCGGGUUGUCAUGCCAAUGGCACUGCCCGGUAGCUAAAUGCGGAAGAGAUAAGUGCUGAAAGCAUCUAAGCACGAAACUUGCCCCGAGAUGAGUUCUCCCUGACUCCUUGAGAGUCCUGAAGGAACGUUGAAGACGACGACGUUGAUAGGCCGGGUGUGUAAGCGCAGCGAUGCGUUGAGCUAACCGGUACUAAUGAACCGUGAGGCUUAACCUU
Molecule: ribosomal RNA, 2904 nt
Filed under: Escherichia coli
Lineage: Bacteria; Pseudomonadati; Pseudomonadota; Gammaproteobacteria; Enterobacterales; Enterobacteriaceae
Description: 23S ribosomal RNA
Rfam family: Bacterial large subunit ribosomal RNA
Source: RNAcentral